Sorghum bicolor (sorghum) is the source of this 204-nucleotide long non-coding RNA. RefSeq lists it as uncharacterized. The transcript has 2 exons. NCBI's taxonomy places the organism in Eukaryota, Viridiplantae, Streptophyta, Magnoliopsida, Poales, Poaceae. The record is from RefSeq and is a predicted model, not a curated record.
UUACAGCAACUCAAGGAGAAGGAAAGCGGGGCCUUAAGCUAAAUUGUAAAUCUAAGGGAAAAUAUUUUGAUUUUGAUUCCUUUGUUGGAGGAGGCUUUAGAAGAGUGUCCAGAAGAGGAAAAGAGACAGAAACACAAAGGAAGAAAGGCUAUUCCUCACAACCAAAACACCCACCUGGAGCAGGAAAGCAAAGGGUACGAGAUA